AUACUUACCUGGCAGUAGAGACACCAAGAUCAUGAAGUUGGUUUUCCCAGGGUGAAGCUUAUCCAUUGUACUUCAGAAGUGCUGACCCCUUCGAUUUCCCCAAAUGUGGAAAACUUGACUGCAUAAUUUGUGGUAGUGGGGGACUGUAUUGGUGUUCUCCCCUA
Molecule: small nuclear RNA, 164 nt
Organism: Pipistrellus kuhlii (Kuhl's pipistrelle)
Lineage: Eukaryota; Metazoa; Chordata; Mammalia; Chiroptera; Vespertilionidae
Product: U1 spliceosomal RNA
Exons: 1
Source: RefSeq, a predicted model, not a curated record